ACAACCAACUCAAAGCUCUUACUAGUGAGCACCUGCAGGCUGCAGUGCCAGAGAGAGAGGUAUGGCAACAUCAGUAGAGAUCAUGAACCCCAGCACUGAGGUUCUUGAGACUGCAGCCACCUCAGUGUUCCAGCCAGGGAAGCUUGCGAUCGAGGUGAUUCCUGUGGAUCAUGACACAAAUCCGACACCACCAAUUCCGAUCUUGAUUGCCUCUCCCAAGGAUGCAGGAACAUACCCGGUCGCCAUGCUCCUGCAUGGUUUCUGCCUCCAGAACCAUUUCUAUAAACAAGUUCUCAAACAUAUUGCCUCUUUUGGCUUCAUCAUGGUUGCACCCCAGGUUAACUAUCACUGCCUUCUAAUGUAUUUUACAUGCACUGUAUAGUCUAUGUUGAUUCAGAAACGUAGAAACUGUGAUGAUUACAGCAAGAUACCACACUAGAUCACAACUGCAUAAUCACGAUGAGAAUUCAUGUACUGACUUUUUUGGGAUACGAUUGGUUCACCCCAUGUCUGUUGGCUGACAUAAAUCAUGCAACUCUGUAAUUCUAUUGGCAGUUCCAUAUCAGCAUAUUGGCCAAAGGUGACACCGAGGACAUAGCCGCAGCAGCUGAAGUGACAGAUUGGCUCGCUAAGGGGCUACCAUCCAUCCUGCCCAAAGGCGUCGAGCCGAACCUUUCCAAGCUCGCUUUGGCCGGCCACAGCCGAGGUGGCCACACAGCGUUCUCUCUUGUCCUGGGGCAUGGCAAGACCAAUCUCAAGUUCUCUGCUCUCAUUGGUCUUGAUCCUGUUGCUGGCACAGGCAAGUCUUCGCAAAUCUCACCCAAGAUCCUCACCUACGAGCCCUCCUCUUUUGACAUAGCGAUGCCCGUCUUGGUCAUCGGCACUGGGCUGGGAGAGGAGAAGAAGAACAUACUAUUUCCUCCCUGCGCUCCCAAGGAUGUUAACCACAGGGAGUUCUACCACGAGUGCAGGCCACCUUGCUACUACUUUGUGACCAAGGACUAUGGACAUCUCGACAUGCUAGAUGACGAUGCUCCAAAGUUCAUGACCUGCAUGUGCAAAGACGGCAAAAACUGCAAGGACCUGAUGAGGAGGACCGUUGCUGGCAUCAUGGUAGCGUUCUUGAAGGCUGUGCUUAAUGAAGAAGAUGGUGAUCUUAGAGUCAUAAUGAAGGACCCUAAGCUCACACCAACCACAGUCGACCCUGUUGAGCACCGUCUGGCAUGAGCAGGAAGACCAUAAAUCAUAAGGACUUAUUGAGUUAAACAUAAGUG
RNAcentral lists this long non-coding RNA (1274 nucleotides) under Setaria viridis. Its description in RNAcentral is "long non-coding RNA (SVIR_LNC001641)". Lineage: Eukaryota; Viridiplantae; Streptophyta; Magnoliopsida; Poales; Poaceae. The record is from RNAcentral.